RNAcentral lists this ribosomal RNA (473 nucleotides) under uncultured bacterium. RNAcentral describes it as "SSU rRNA". It matches the Rfam family "Bacterial small subunit ribosomal RNA", at positions 26 to 518 of the family's 1533-position model. The record is from RNAcentral.
AGGAUAAACGCUGGCGGCGUGCAUGAGACAUGCAAGUCAAACGGACGAUCGGGGUUCGCUCUGAUCGUUAGUGGCGGACGGCUGAGUAACGCGUAGGUGACCUGCCCCGAAGUGGGGAAUAACUGCCCGAAAGGGUGGCUAAUACCGCAUGUGGUGGUGCGUUCGAUCGCACCAGUAAAGCCGCAAGGCGCUUCGGGAGGGGCCCGCGUCCGAUUAGCUCGUUGGUGAGGUAACGGCUCACCAAGGCGACGAUCGGUAGGUGGUCUGAGAGGACGAUCACCCAGACUGGGACUGAGACACGGCCCAGACUCCUACGGGAGGCAGCAGUCGGGAAUUUUGCGCAAUGGACGAAAGUCUGACGCAGCAACGCCGCGUGAGGGAUGAAGGCCUUCGGGUUGUAAACCUCUUUUUCCAGGGAAGAUAAUGACGGUACCUGGCGAAUAAGUCACGGCUAACUACGUGCCAGCAGCCGC